AAUAGAUACCCGGGUAGUCCACCCGUAACGUUGGGAACUAGUUGUGGGGUCCUUUCCACGGAUUCCGUGACGCAGCUAACGCAUUAAGUUCCCCGCCUGGGGAGUACGGCCGCAAGGCUAAAACUCAAAGGAAUUGACGGGGACCCGCACAAGCGGCGGAGCAUGCGGAUUAAUUCGAUGCAACGCGAAGAACCUUACCAAGGCUUGACAUACACGAGAACGGGCCAGAAAUGGUCAACUCUUUGGACACUCGUGAACAGGUGGUGCAUGGUUGUCGUCAGCUCGUGUCGUGAGAUGUUGGGUUAAGUCCCGCAACGAGCGCAACCCUCGUUCUAUGUUGCCAGCACGUAAUGGUGGGAACUCAUGGGAUACUGCCGGGGUCAACUCGGAGGAAGGUGGGGAUGACGUCAAAUCAUCAUGCCCCUUAUGUCUUGGGCUUCACGCAUGCUACAAUGGCCGGUACAAUGGGCUGCGAUACCGUAAGGUGGAGCGAAUCCCAAAAAGCCGGUCCCAGUUCGGAUUGAGGUCUGCAACUCGACCUCA
This 543-nucleotide ribosomal RNA is filed under the name uncultured bacterium. RNAcentral's name for it is "bacterial SSU rRNA". It matches the Rfam family "Bacterial small subunit ribosomal RNA", at positions 777 to 1320 of the family's 1533-position model. The record is from RNAcentral.